RNAcentral lists this transfer RNA (73 nucleotides) under Candidatus Microgenomates bacterium. RNAcentral's name for it is "tRNA-Gly". It matches the Rfam family "tRNA". From Rfam's summary of the family: Transfer RNA (tRNA) molecules are approximately 80 nucleotides in length. Their secondary structure includes four short double-helical elements and three loops (D, anti-codon, and T loops). The record is from RNAcentral. Lineage: Bacteria; Candidatus Microgenomatota.
GCGAGAGUAGUUCAGUUGGUAGAAUGUCUCCUUCCCAAGGAGAAGAUCGCGGGUUCGAAUCCCGUCUCUCGCU